Procambarus clarkii (red swamp crayfish) is the source of this 168-nucleotide non-coding RNA. The record is from RefSeq and is a predicted model, not a curated record. NCBI's taxonomy places the organism in Eukaryota, Metazoa, Arthropoda, Malacostraca, Decapoda, Cambaridae.
GCUAAAUGCCUGGUUAGACCAUUACUUGCAUACCCAUCUAUCCAUUUAAAUUUUUAAAAUAGUGAUCAGUGCUCAUAUAAUGAUAUUGUGUUAUUGUAUUCUGGUGCAUUAACAUUUUUGGCUGCCUGUAUUUCCAUUUAUAUGUUUGUAUGUUCUUUUUUACCCUUA